This 318-nucleotide ribosomal RNA is filed under the name Acinetobacter baumannii. Its description in RNAcentral is "bacterial SSU rRNA". It matches the Rfam family "Bacterial small subunit ribosomal RNA", at positions 1 to 321 of the family's 1533-position model. Lineage: Bacteria; Pseudomonadati; Pseudomonadota; Gammaproteobacteria; Moraxellales; Moraxellaceae. The record is from RNAcentral.
UAACUGAAGAGUUUGAUCAUGGCUCAGAUUGAACGCUGGCGGCAGGCUUAACACAUGCAAGUCGAGCGGGGGAAGGUAGCUUGCUACUGGACCUAGCGGCGGACGGGUGAGUAAUGCUUAGGAAUCUGCCUAUUAGUGGGGGACAACAUCUCGAAAGGGAUGCUAAUACCGCAUACGUCCUACGGGAGAAAGCAGGGGAUCUUCGGACCUUGCGCUAAUAGAUGAGCCUAAGUCGGAUUAGCUAGUUGGUGGGGUAAAGGCCUACCAAGGCGACGAUCUGUAGCGGGUCUGAGAGGAUGAUCCGCCACACUGGGACUG